GGUCCGCCACUGGUUGGGUAAUU
RNAcentral lists this non-coding RNA (23 nucleotides) under Arabidopsis thaliana (thale cress). Lineage: Eukaryota; Viridiplantae; Streptophyta; Magnoliopsida; Brassicales; Brassicaceae. The record is from RNAcentral.